AAUUGAUCAUGUUAAAUGAAAAAUAUUGAAAUCCAAAGGGCAAAAUACUUGCCCCAACAAUCAAGUAUUAAAUUAAGAUUCUCAAUGCACAUUCCAGAGCACCGGUUUGGUCAGGUAGUUGCUCUGGAGUAUUGUGACACACAAAAUAGCUUGUUUUGAAGGAUGAGAAUGCAUGAUUCCUUAAUUACACCAUAAAUCCAUCACUCAUUAAUUCACCCGAGCUAACUCCAGUGGUCCCUUCUGUUGCAUUGUCUUUAGUCUUUACAUAGGCAGAUUUAAGCAAUACCUUCAG
Molecule: unclassified non-coding RNA, 292 nt
Filed under: Hevea brasiliensis (rubber tree)
Lineage: Eukaryota; Viridiplantae; Streptophyta; Magnoliopsida; Malpighiales; Euphorbiaceae
Source: RNAcentral